GGGAUUAUGGUGUAACGGUUAGCACAGCACUCUGUGGAAGUGCGGGCGAGAGUUCAAUUCUCUCUAAUCCCCCA
RNAcentral lists this transfer RNA (74 nucleotides) under Candidatus Yanofskybacteria bacterium RIFCSPHIGHO2_01_FULL_44_22. RNAcentral describes it as "tRNA-His". It matches the Rfam family "tRNA". From Rfam's summary of the family: Transfer RNA (tRNA) molecules are approximately 80 nucleotides in length. Their secondary structure includes four short double-helical elements and three loops (D, anti-codon, and T loops). The record is from RNAcentral. Lineage: Bacteria; Candidatus Yanofskyibacteriota.